UCCCUGGUGACUCAGUUGGUAAAGAAUCUGCCUGCAAAGCAGGAGAUGCAGGUUCAAUCCUUGGUUUGGGAA
Molecule: transfer RNA, 72 nt
Filed under: Ovis aries (sheep)
Lineage: Eukaryota; Metazoa; Chordata; Mammalia; Artiodactyla; Bovidae
Rfam family: tRNA
About the family: Transfer RNA (tRNA) molecules are approximately 80 nucleotides in length. Their secondary structure includes four short double-helical elements and three loops (D, anti-codon, and T loops). Further hydrogen bonds mediate the characteristic L-shaped molecular structure. tRNAs have two regions of fundamental functional importance: the anti-codon, which is responsible for specific mRNA codon recognition, and the 3' end, to which the tRNAs corresponding amino acid is attached (by aminoacyl-tRNA synthetases). tRNAs cope with the degeneracy of the genetic code in two manners: having more than one tRNA (with a specific anti-codon) for a particular amino acid; and 'wobble' base-pairing, i.e. permitting non-standard base-pairing at the 3rd anti-codon position.
Source: Rfam by way of RNAcentral